GGAGGGCUGGUGGGCGUCAGAUUUACACGCCGGCAGCAGCAGGUUUCAUCCUGACCUCCGCGGCGCUGACGGAGACGGCUGCAUCGCUGAAGAGCUCUCUCAUCUCGGGAGAUGUCUUAGAUUCGGAUAAUAAGGAUUCGUCUCAUUAUAUAGCAGCUAAAUUUACUGCUGAGUUUCUGGGUUCACCAAUAAAAACAAUUAUGACUCAACAAGAAGGUCGAGUGAAGACAGGAGGCUUUGGGCUGCUAAGAGAUAUUUUGCAGAUGAUUUGUCUGGAUUCGCCAUAGAGGUCCAUCAGCCUGAGAUCCGGAACCUUGUGACAUGGACAGCGGUCGGGUCUGCAGGCUGUGUCCUGACACCUGGCUUACAGCUGGAGGUGUUCUUCAUGGUACUUUCUCACUGGCAGAGUUUAAAAAGGUAGCAGCAGCCCAGAGAGUCCAGCCGGCCUUGAUGCUGCACAUACACCAUGCUGGGCUGGCUGGAAGAUAUGCCCAGAGAAGAGAAAUGAGGGGAAAAUGUUUUUAAAAGUGAAAUCUUUCCAUUCUGGAGAUCUCAUUAACAUAGCUGAUAAAGCUUGUUCCUUAUACGCACCCGGGAGGAGCUGACAGGAUGAAGACAUCAACUCUGAUGCAUAAAGUCACACACACACAUAAACGCAUGUUAACACACAAACACACACACGCACGAAAUGCAAAUGCCGGAGAAACAGGCUGAUGCUGCCGCACACUGGUUUGUGGUCUGCCUCCCUUGUUUGCUGUGGGUUUGUUAGAACGGCUUUGCGGUUAAAUAGCUGAGAUGUUUUGAGUCUCUGAGGCACCGUUUCUGGACUGAGUAGAGAUCACCUCACUGACCUUAGAGCCAAGGGAUAGAGAGAAGCCUCCUGUGAGCAAAGUCUUCAGUUUUUGGGAAAAGCCAUCGGCUGUGCGUCUGCAUGCCUCAUUAAGGAAUCAUAUUUUGCGCGUUGCAUGAUGCCCCACUGGCUCCGCCUACUCGCCACCACGGAGAUGGAGGGCUGCUGCGUGCUUCUGCGUGUCUCUCUGCACAUUCCUUAUCUUUAUGGAAUGAGAAAAUGUUCAAAUAAAACCAUUUCCCCAGGA
Brienomyrus brachyistius is the source of this 1097-nucleotide long non-coding RNA. RefSeq lists it as uncharacterized. The transcript has 2 exons. NCBI's taxonomy places the organism in Eukaryota, Metazoa, Chordata, Actinopteri, Osteoglossiformes, Mormyridae. The record is from RefSeq and is a predicted model, not a curated record.